RNA transcript from Carassius gibelio (silver crucian carp), 5541 nucleotides. It is a transcript of the gene named BRD4-interacting chromatin-remodeling complex-associated protein-like, with no coding region annotated. Lineage: Eukaryota; Metazoa; Chordata; Actinopteri; Cypriniformes; Cyprinidae. The record is from RefSeq and is a predicted model, not a curated record. The transcript has 15 exons.
CUCCCCCUCCUCCCUGAGCAUGUGGGUACGGAUGGAUGGCGCACAGGCCCGUCUGAAAGGACAAUAAAGCACAAAGACGCUGCCAAUCAUCGAAAUCCAGUCAUUGAAGUCCACAGAAACUCUCUCUCCCUGCUUUGAAUGGAGCCACCCUAAUAAAAGUUGAAAUGGAGGAAGAAGAUGGUACUUGUUUACUUGAUGUUUUAUGUGACCCUCAAGCCCUCAAUGACUUUCUUCAUGGGACAAAUGAGCUGCCAAGUGGAGACUUACUCAUUAAUUCAUCCUCUGGAGAGCCGUCACUCUUCACAGACACUCCAAGCCCUGCAUCUCUGUUAGCAGAUGAUGCUAGUUCUCAGGACACUCCUGUCUCUGGCUGUGUGGAUCUCUCCUUUCUGGAGGAGGCACUGCUGGCAUCACCGGGAUCCUCUCUGGGAAGUGGAGGUCCAGAGGCGCAAGAAGAUCCCAAUGUCCAACUAGUGGAACAGCAGAAAGAGUCAGAAGAGUUCUGUGACAUUCUCCAGCAGAGUCUCCAGGAGGCUGACAUCACUGAGGACACUCUCGCUUUUGAAGCAGGACUUGCCCAGACAGCAGAAACUCUCCAGCUUGGUUUGUCUGGCACAUCCCUUCCUUUGCCUGCAAUGCAAUAUUUCUCCAAACCACUGACCGCUCCUGGCUUGAUCUCUUUACCAAAGGCCACUCAACCUGCAGUGGAGCCUCCUCAGCCAUCUUUAUUAGCUGUUGGCCCAGGCUGUCCCUCACUCAAGCCUCCAGGAACCCAGUUAAUGAAUCUACUCCCUGGGAAUGUAUUCCCCACACCUCCACUUGAGGCAUCCUUUUCUAUUAAUUCAGCACAAAGCACCAGCAUGAUUAUCCAAAAGACCAUACCAAGCCUCACAAAUCACCAGGUGUUGGCCUCCACCGUUAGAACAAUUACCCCAUCAGGGGUCAUGUUACAAAAAACUCCUCUACCCAUUCAGCCUAAGUUCCCAGUCAACUUCCAACCCAGAUUUGUUCAGCUCAGUCCCAGGCCAGGAUUUGCCUUCAUCUCAACAAAUACAUCACAGAGUGUCUUGUUAUCCCCGUCUGUUGGCUCAAAACAGUCCUUACAAGAACAGUCCACACCAAGUGUCAGCAAACCUGUUAGCUUCAAUCUGGUUGGUCAGAGAGGCCCAAUUGUCAUUCAGCCCCAGGAUCCUUAUCAGGGCCAGAGACAAUUCUUUCUGCCAAGCCAAACACCUACAACUGUGUCCCAAUCUCCCAGCAUACCAAGGUGUAUUCUUAAAACACCAAGCAAUCAGGUGUCAAACAAACUCAAUGUUGACAGUUCUCAUAUAGUGACUGUACGACCAAGGCAAAUCAACUUCAGCCCGAUUUUCACCUCCCCACCUGGACAACUCACCCUCAAACAAGGGUCUCUUCUGACAGGGUCCUUACCAAUUCGGUCAACACCUCCUACAGUCUUCCAGAUGCCAACACAGCUAGCAGGGACCUAUGCACCUCAAGUGCAGGGGCAGCAUGAUGCGGUAGUUCAAAACAAUGUUGCAAACCAAAUCACACUGAUUAAUAAUGCCAGUAUGCUUAUUCCUGAUAUGACCACCAUACCAACAGUAAAUGGUCAGUCAGUGAUGCAAAGUCUGCCUUUGGUGCCUCAAAGUGCUCUAAUAGGGGGACCUGAGGGAAAGGUGUGUCGUACCCAGAAUUCCGUGCUUCUCUUGCCUGAGAGAACAACAGAUCAUCAACAGGAGAAUGUCAACAAACCGUUUCAAGAGAGCAGAUUGCUUCUGCCAACUUCAGUGGAAGCACCCCUUACUGAGACUCACUCUCUGCCCUCUCCAGUAUCAACUCUACUACAGUCAUCACCAGAUAUUAGUUGUGACCCUGACACAGUUUUGUCAUUAUCCCCACAACUGAUCACUCAGACAGGAGAAGAACAAUUUACUGAAGGAGAACAUAAUCUAUUGCAUCACAAUCAGGCUUUAGUACAUCCUCAACAACAGUGUCCAUUAAAACUGUCAGCCAGCCAAGAUUCGUUAGCUGCAACUCUACUUAUGCAAAUGGACAACCACAUCUCUUCUGCUGUAGGUGAAGCUGAGGAUUUGCUCACAUCCUUGACUACAUCUGAGACUUUAUCUUCACUUUGUAAGAGUGAAGAUAUCCUUAUGCCAGCAUACCAUGGUUCAGAACACACUGAUAUUCUAUUGCAAACUCCUAUUGGCCAGACCUCAGACACAGACAACAUGAAGGGCACAACACCCCCAGUCUCAGAUGAGCAGGAUUCCUCUAUGUUGAUUGGUCUUGAUGCUGAACCCAAGUGUCAGGAGGUGCCAGUAAAGAGUAAGAGAACUUCCUCUUCCUCAGAGAAGUUGUUUAUGUAUCCAGAGCAAUUGGGCCGAAGCCAUGUGUUAACUGAACUUAGCAGAACCCCAGAGUCAACAGCCCAUGUGUACAAGCAGCAGUAUUAUGAACAUGACACAGAGCUCACAGUCCUUAGGAACAGUGGGAUAAUCUCUUUGGAUCAGCAUCAGUCACAGGAGAAGGUACAUCUCGGGCCCAGACUGCUUGCCCAGGACAAGGAGACCUACUCGGCACUCCAGAAGAACCAGGUCCAGACUUCUACUGCAAGCGUGGAUCCAAAAGAGGAGAAGCUGAGACUAGCAAAGAGGCAACACAGGUUCAAACAGCAGAUGCUUUUGGACCACAAUGCUGUUCUCAACCCAAACACUUCAGCUCCGUUUGUUUCAGUGGAGGAUGCGUUGAGACAUUUGUUGCCAUACCAUUCUUGUGCUAGAUCUCUGCCCAGCCAGGCUGACUUUCACUCAGUGGACAAGCAGUUUGAGUGUGUUUCAGUUGUUCUGCUGAAACGAAUCAAAGACAUGCUGAACAAGUACAGGAAACAACUUCUGGCUGAAUCCCAGCAGGAGAGCCCAUCAGCAGAGAUGGUGAUGCUAGAGCGUUUGUUUCUCCAAUCAGAGAGAGUCUCUCUGGCAGAGGACAGACGCAGAGCCAGAAGAGAACCAGCAGAGUCCUUCCUCAAAUCCCGGACCAAGAAUUUAUCUCAGCACAACCAAGUCUCAUCAGUCCACACUGGCCUUGCAUCUCCACCAUCAUGGACCUUGCAAUCUGACAGACCUCCUGGCCUCAAGACAUAUCGCUCCAGCAGCAAAGGAGCAAUACGUCUCACUAUAAAACAUGAGUCAGGAUCCCGCAAAGUUAUCCACAACUCAUGUGGCGCCUCGCAUACCAUCUCUGGGAUUAAACGAAACUACAGCGGCCAGUUAACUAAGGGAGGUGCCAUUCACAGGAAAGAUGAAUCUCUUGAGCCUCCUUUGUCAAAUGUUGCAGAGAAUGAAAAUGAUCAAAGGUCAGAUCUGCAGAACAAGCUAAAAUUGUACCUUGACAUGGAAACACUAAGGACAGGUAGCGAUUCGCAGAACCUCUCAGAUUCUGUGUCCAGUCAAGACUAUGUAGCUCCAAGGGUGCAAGGCUUGCUCCCAGAGCAGUGCACUCCAGUGGUUAAAAGGAACAAGCUGGCUACUUCAGCAACAGUGUCUCCCAGUUUGCCUGCAUUGGUGGAAGACGGGGAACUGAGUGAACACCUGCAAAGUGCUUUGGACAGUAUCUUGGAGCUGCAAAGGUUGCAGGGUUCUUAAACCCAAGAUUCAACAGUCUUGUGCACUGGAGCAGGCCAUCAGCUGCAUGCCAGAAGGACAAUUUUGAGACAGAAGAGCUACACUCUAAAAAAUGCUGGGUUGUUUCAACCCAACUUUGGGUCAAUUAUGGACUAAGCCAACUGAUGGGUUAAAUUUUGUAAUUACAUUUUUAACCCAAAAGUUGGGUUAGUCCAUAUUUGACCCAAAGUUGGGUUGAAACAACCCAGCAUUUUUAAGAGUGUGUGUGGAAGGAAAAGCUUGGUUUGGUUUUCACAUCCUGCAAUCCAUAUCCAGCAGAGACUAAUAUUUAUUUAUUUUUUCCCGAGGAAGAAUGUCUUAUUAAUCAUUAUUAUUAUUGUGUAAAUAGAGUAAAUACAGUAUUGUUCAAAAUAAUAGCAGUACAAUGUGACUAACCAGAAUAAUCAAGGUUUUUAGUAUAUUUUUUAUUGCUACGUGGCAAACAAGUUACCAGUAGGUUCAGUAGAUUGUCAGAAAACAAACAAGACCCAGCAUUCAUGAUAUGCACGCUCUUAAGGUUGUGCAAUUGGGCAAUUAGUUGAAAGGGGUGUGUUCAAAAAAAUAGCAGUGUCUACCUUUGACUGUACAAACUCAAAACUAUUUUGUACAAACAUUUUUUUUUUUCUGGGAUUUAGCAAUCCUGUGAAUCACUAAACUAAUAUUUAGUUGUAUGACCACAGUUUUUUAAAACUGCUUGACAUCUGUGUGGCAUGGAGUCAACCAACUUGUGGCACCUCUCAGCUGUUAUUCCACUCCAUGAUUCUUUAACAACAUUCCACAAUUCAUUCACAUUUUUUGGUUUUGCUUCAGAAACAGCAUUUUUGAUAUCACCCCACAAGUUCUCAAUUGGAUUAAGGUCUGGAGAUUGGGCUGGCCACUCCAUAACAUUAAUUUUGUUGGUUUGGAACCAAGACUUUGCCCCUUUACUAGUGUGUUUUGGGUCAUUGUCUUGUUGAAACAACCAUUUCAAGGGCAUGUCCUCUUCAGCAUAGGGCAACAUGACCUCUUCAAGUAUUUUAACAUAUGCAAACUGAUCCAUGAUCCCUGGUAUGCGAUAAAUAGGUCCAACACCAUAGUAGGAGAAACAUGCCCAUAUCAUGAUGCUUGCACCUCCAUGCUUCACUGUCUUCACUGUGUACUGUGGCUUGAAUUCAGAGUUUGGGGGUCGUCUCACAAACUGCCUGUGGCCCUUGGACCCAAAAAGAACAAUUUUACUCUCAUCAGUCCACAAAAUGUUCCUCCAUUUCUCUUUAGGCCAGUUGAUGUGUUCUUUGGCAAAUUGUAACCUCUUCUGCACAUGCCUUUUUUUUUAACAGAGGGACUUUGCGGGGGAUUCUUGAAAAUAGAUUAGCUUCACACAGACGUCUUCUAACUGUCACAGUACUUACAGGUAACUCCAGACUGUCUUUGAUCAUCCUGGAGGUGAUCAUUGGCUGAGCCUUUGCCAUUCUGGUUAUUCUUCUAUCCAUUUUGAUGGUUGUCUUCCGUUUUCUUCCACGUCUCUCUGGUUUUGCUCCAUUUUAAGGCAUUGGAGAUCAUUUUAGCUGAACAGCCUAUCAUUUUUUGCACCUCUUUAUAGGUUUUCCCCUCUCUAAUCAACUUUUUAAUCAAAGUACGCUGUUCUUCUGAACAAUGUCUUGAACGACCCAUUUUCCUCAGCUUUCAAAUGCAUGUUCAACAAGUGUUGGCUUCAUCCUUAAAUAGGGGCCACCUGAUUCACACCUGUUUCUUCACAAAAUUGAUGACCUCAGUGAUUGAAUGCCACACUGCUAUUUUUUUGAACACACCCCUUUCAACUAAUUCAACUAAUUGCCCAAUUGCACAGCCUUAAGAGCGUGCAUAUCAUGAAUGCUGGGUCUCGUUUGUUUUCUGAGAA